Molecule: ribosomal RNA, 487 nt
Filed under: uncultured Derxia sp.
Lineage: Bacteria; Pseudomonadati; Pseudomonadota; Betaproteobacteria; Burkholderiales; Alcaligenaceae
Description: bacterial SSU rRNA
Rfam family: Bacterial small subunit ribosomal RNA
Source: RNAcentral
AGAGUUUGAUCAUGGCUCAGAUUGAACGCUGGCGGCAUGCCUUACACAUGCAAGUCGAGCGGCAGCGCGGGGGCAACCCUGGCGGCGAGCGGCGUACGGGUGAGUAAUGCAUCGGAACGUGUCCUCUUGUGGGGGAUAACCAGUCGAAAGACUGGCUAAUACCGCAUGAGCUCGCAAGAGGAAAGCAGGGGACCCGCAAGGGCCUUGCGCGAGAGGAGCGGCCGAUGCCGGAUUAGCUAGUUGGUGGGGUAAAAGCCCACCAAGGCGACGAUCCGUAGCUGGUCUGAGAGGACGACCAGCCACACUGGGACUGAGACACGGCCCAGACUCCUACGGGAGGCAGCAGUGGGGAAUUUUGGACAAUGGGGGCAACCCUGAUCCAGCCAUGCCGCGUGUGUGAAGAAGGCCUUCGGGUUGUAAAGCACUUUCGGCCGGAACGAAAUCGCCUCCGUUAAUAGCGGGGGUGGAUGACGUACCGAAGAGAGAC